GAUGAACGCUAGCGGCAGGCUUAACACAUGCAAGUCGAGGGGCAGCGAGAGAGUAGCAAUACUUUUGUCGGCGACCGGCGCAAGGGGUGCGUAACGCGUGAGCAACAUGCCCGGUAACAGGCGUAUAGACCGUGGAAACGCGGCGUAAACCGCCAUAAGUUGGGAGUAGGCAUCUAUUUCAAAUGAAAUCUUACGGAGUUACGGAUUGGCUCGCGAGACAUUAGCC
This 226-nucleotide ribosomal RNA is filed under the name uncultured bacterium. Its description in RNAcentral is "partial 16S ribosomal RNA". It matches the Rfam family "Bacterial small subunit ribosomal RNA", at positions 28 to 246 of the family's 1533-position model. The record is from RNAcentral.